UCUACGGGAGGCUGCAGUGGGGAAUAUUGGACAAUGGGCGAAAGCCUGAUCCAGCCAUGCCGCGUGUGUGAAGAAGGCCUUCGGGUUGUAAAGCACUUUCAGUGGGGAAGAAAGCCUUGGGGCUAAUACCCUCGAGGAAGGACAUCACCCACAGAAGAAGCACCGGCUAACUCCGUGCCAGCAGCCGCGGUAAUACGGAGGGUGCGAGCGUUAAUCGGAAUUACUGGGCGUAAAGCGCGCGUAGGCGGUCUGAUAAGCCGGUUGUGAAAGCCCCGGGCUCAACCUGGGAACGGCAUCCGGAACUGUCAGGCUAGAGUGCAGGAGAGGAAGGUAGAAUUCCCGGUGUAGCGGUGAAAUGCGUAGAGAUCGGGAGGAAUACCAGUGGCGAAGGCGGCCUUCUGGACUGACACUGACGCUGAGGUGCGAAAGCGUGGGUAGCAAACAGGAUUAGAUACCCUAGUAGUC
RNAcentral lists this ribosomal RNA (465 nucleotides) under Vreelandella stevensii. Its description in RNAcentral is "partial 16S ribosomal RNA". It matches the Rfam family "Bacterial small subunit ribosomal RNA", at positions 338 to 795 of the family's 1533-position model. The record is from RNAcentral. Lineage: Bacteria; Pseudomonadati; Pseudomonadota; Gammaproteobacteria; Oceanospirillales; Halomonadaceae.